UAGAUGCUCUGUCACCCAGGCUGGAGUGUAGUGGCACGAUCUCGGCUCACUGCAAGCUCCGCCUCCCGGGUUCACGCCAUCCUCCUGCCUCAGCCUCCCUAGUAGCUGGGACUACAGGCGCCCACCACCACGCCCGGCUAAUUUUUUGUAUUUUUAGUAGAGACGGGGUUUCACCGUGUUAGCCAGGAUGGUCUUGAUCUCCUGACCUCGUGAUCCGCCCACCUCGGCCUCCCAAAGUGCUGGGAUUACAGGCGUGACAAGGAUCUUUAUGACAUUGUACACAUGGAUCAAAAUAUCACAGGUUAUUUGCUCAGAAUAGAUUCCAAGAAAUCGAAUCAUGAGAUCGAAGGAGAUCAACAAGUUUGUGGCUCUUGAGACACAAUGCCAAAUAUCCUUCUAGAGAGCUGGCAGAUAUCAGAAACCUCUUCUCAGCUUUAGAGAUGCUUUUCACACAGACAGAAGAUUUCCUCUCCACACCAGAGGCAGCAGGAUAAGAUGUACCAUCAGACCGCACUGGCUUACCGUGGUGACAAGAAAGAAGAGGCCCUGACUGGGUGAGCUUCUUUAUUUAGCAAUUAACCAAAGACAAAUAAACCACUUCUAACCUUUUUCUUGCUUGAAUAUGUAGAAAUUAAAUGCAUUCAUUAUCCUGAGAGGAUUAUGAGCUUCUUUUUCCUGCAGUGACUCAAAUAUUUAUUUGACUGUAUGCAUAUGCUUUGCAGGAAUAAAAAUCAGCAUCUUCCAACUAAACCAUUUCCAUUGCAUCUAUAAUAACAUCUCUAAAAAGUAAUUCCUGUCAUUUCCAUUCCAUUUAUUUAUUACUCAACCAAAUAUACCCCCCUUGAAGGGUAGUAUUCUCUUGGACUAGGGCAUGGGAUUCACAGUUCCUCAAAGUGGUAAAUGUGAUAAAUGUUUUAACAUAUAUGGGAAUCCCACAAAGAACUCUCACUUUGGUAUUAAAUCAUGGAGGAACAUCAGGGUAUCCAUCUGCACACCCUAUGAAAUAAGAUGCAUUGGGUAAGUCAGCCAGGUGCUUUGUUUAUGUGGCAUCUGGACGCUUGGAAACUUCUGGAUGAGUAAACACUUUCUUUUGGGUCGAAAAGGUUUGGCUUUAACAUGUCGUCUAGUGGAAACCAAUCUAGAAUCACCAUGUUCGACUUUUCUAGUCUUUUAUGGGUCCAGUAAACUCAAGUGAAGGAAUCUUCAGAAGUGGGUUAACUUGUCCAUUCUCUUGGUAGUUGGAAUUCUUUCCUAAAUGUCACAUAAGAUAUUUGGAUACAAAUGUGUAGAGGAGAAAUGAAGGGACAAAAGAAUUAACAUUUGUUGAUCUCCUGCCAUAUGUAAGACACUGUGAUAGAUCACAUGUAUAAUAAUUUCAAUUUGUCAUUCCAACCUGGUGAGGGAGGUAUUAAUGGCUUCAUUUAACAGAUGAGGAAACUGAGGUUAAGAGAUUUCCUCUCUGACCACAAUUAUUAAAGUAUAAGUAAACUUUCCCAAUCUCUGAUGAAAGAACCUAGGAUUAUAGUUGAGUGAGUCACCAAUGCCCCAAAUUAUGACAUAGCCCAUGAAGAAAGAUACACUAAUACUCUUCAAGGACAGCAGGGUUGGGGUGAGGCAUUUGUCACUCUGCCUGAGGAUGCAACAUUCUCACUUGCCCUGGCCCCUCAGCUCAGGGCGAGCCACAGCACAGCAGAAGAGCAGAACCGCCCCUCCUGGAAGUUCUAGGUUCUGAAUGUGUCCAAUAGGCCCAGAGGUGAGGGUCUACAGGCAGAUCAGGGAGUCUGAGAGACAGAAGCCCCUUGCUUCAGCAGCAUUGGAUUUAAGGACAGAGCCUUAAAUCAGGAAGAAGUUCUCUCUCCAACCAUAUACAGGGGAAACUAAAGACUUUGCCUGGCAACCUAGAGACUUUAUCAUCGCAGGAGAUGGAUAACCAAGAUGAAACCAUGAGACAACAUUCUGGGCCAAGCAGUGAGCAAUGAGGAGACCCAGACCCCAGGUUCCUGGCUGUGUCUUUGGCUAAAAAGAAGAGGCAUUAAGACAGAUUCCCUGAGGAUACUUCAAGAACCCUGAAAUUGCCUUGCUCACAUACCACCACACUAGAGAUGUUUCAGAAAAGCAGCUUCCCUUUUGGUGCCUCCAAUCCAGAAUGACUCCAGGACCCACCGAGAGGUGAGGCAGAGAGGACAAGGCAAGGACAAAACUUCUUUGGACUAUUUUCUGCACAUCCCCAGCAGAGAUUGAUGAAUGCCUCUGAGUCAGCAAAAUCUCCAGUGGUGAAACAGAAAGCGUACACUCCACACAUUCAAGCAGCCAGGCCAGCCCACACGGAGAAGAGGAUGUUCACAUCCAGCCUGUUCAGUGGACCCCAUGGGGCAUUUCAAAGGCUAUUACAUUUCCAGGACCUUCUAUCACACCCCCUUUCUUCCAUCCCUGCUAAUAUUUGUGACUUUCCAGCUUUCUUCUCUGAAAUUAAAAUCAAACCUUUGCAAAGUGAAAAUCAGUUCAUCUGAGCUAGUGCUGGUUAAGAUUUACAAAAUAAAGAGGAAUUUUACACCCAC
This 2558-nucleotide long non-coding RNA is filed under the name Homo sapiens (human). Its description in RNAcentral is "HSALNT0224639". The record is from RNAcentral. Lineage: Eukaryota; Metazoa; Chordata; Mammalia; Primates; Hominidae.